GAUCGCUGAAGAGCCGACGGCCGACGACUACAACUCUCUUCAGUAAAACAGUAAAUUUUCUGUUCUAGACUUCUAGUGUAGUACUCACUGGUCGGUAAGUCCUAUCGUAGUGUCGAUUGUCGUCUAUUGAUUAUUGGCUUUUCAGCUUUUGCCGUCUGUAUUCCUUUUACUUUAUCGUGAUAAUAUUAUGAUCAUUAUUGUUCUGUGUACCUACUUAUAUAAUAUAUUUUGUUUUGUGAUACAAUUACGAGUUUCAAAUUUGAAUCUUAAAAUUCUUGCCGACAAAAACAAAGGCAUUAAUGAAACAGGUUUACUACACGAAAACGAUUCGUUAUCCAAGCAUCGGACGAAGAGGAACAAGAUUGUGUUAAAUCGUCUGAAUCCUCCAUCCCCACGAUUACACAAGCACAAAUGUAUCAAAAACAAACCGAAGGCCAAUGAUGACAUUUUUGAAGCUUUAAAUAAAAUAGAAUGAUCAAUUGUAAAUGCUGCAAUGAACAGCAAAACUCAAAACAAAAAUAAAUACUUUUUAAAAAUAAUUUUCUAGCCUAAUUUUUGUUCAUUCAUUUUUUAAAUUAUACACGUAUAAAUAGUAAACACCUUCAUACAUUUUAUAAUAAAUACUUAGUAAUUAAUUUAUUGUACUGUUUUAAGUAAAAUAUAUUAUAUUCAGAUA
This is a long non-coding RNA of Aphis gossypii (cotton aphid), 676 nucleotides long. RefSeq lists it as uncharacterized. The record is from RefSeq and is a predicted model, not a curated record. Lineage: Eukaryota; Metazoa; Arthropoda; Insecta; Hemiptera; Aphididae. The transcript has 2 exons.